This is an RNA transcript of Octodon degus (degu), 844 nucleotides long. It is a transcript of the gene named spindlin-1 pseudogene, with no coding region annotated. Lineage: Eukaryota; Metazoa; Chordata; Mammalia; Rodentia; Octodontidae. The transcript has 2 exons. The record is from RefSeq and is a predicted model, not a curated record.
AUGGGCCGGAGUGGAAGGAAAAGCAGGAGGACAACUCUGUCCACCAGGAAACACCCAGCGCACUGUGGAAAUGACUGUGCUCUGAAGCGCACCAACCUGCAGUUUGCCCUCCCAGGGAGACAGACGCUGAGGCCACCUGGGCCCUUCAGCGGCAGCGAAUGCCUCUCCCCCAUCGCACACUGGCACAGGCCUUUGCUCCAGCCCUUUGCUCAAUGGAAGGGGACUGUCCUGGACCAGGUGCCCGUAAAUCCUUCUUUGUAUCUUAUAAAAUACGAUGGAUUUGACUGUGUUUAUGGACUAGAACUUAAUAAAGAUGAAAGAGUUUCUGCACUCGAGGUCCUCCCUGAUAGAGUUGCAACAUCUCGAAUCAGCGAUGCACACUUAGCAGACACAAUGAUCGGUAAAGCGGUGGAACAUAUGUUCGAGACAGAGGAUGGCUCUAAAGAUGAAUGGAGGGGCAUGGUCUUAGCACGGGCACCUGUCAUGAACACAUGGUUUUACAUCACUUAUGAGAAAGACCCUGUCUUGUACAUGUACCAGCUCUUAGAUGACUAUAAAGAAGGUGACCUUCGCAUCAUGCCCGAUUCUAAUGAUUCACCUCCAGCAGAAAGGGAACCAGGAGAAGUUGUGGACAGCCUGGUAGGCAAAGAAGUGGAAUAUGCCAAAGAAGAUGGCUCAAAAAGGACUGGCAUGGUCAUUCAUAAAGUAGAAGCUAAACCAUCUGUCUAUUUCAUCAAGUUUGAUGAUGAUUUCCAUAUUUAUGUCUACGAUUUGGUGAAAACAUCCCAGAUGUCAUCGUGAACUUUGCCAAAUUUGUGGAACUAUUAAAUGUAUAAUUUGUAGA